GACGAACGCUGGCGGCGUGCUUAACACAUGCAAGUCGAACGGUGAACGAGGGAGCUUGCUCCCUCCGGAUCAGUGGCGCACGGGUGAGUAACACGUGAGCAAUCUGCCCCGAACUCUGGGAUAAGCGUUGGAAACGAUGUCUAAUACCGGAUACGACGCGGGAGGGCAUCCUCUCCGCGUGGAAAGAACUUCGGUUCGGGAUGAGCUCGCGGCCUAUCAGCUUGUUGGUGAGGUAACGGCUCACCAAGGCGACGACGGGUAGCCGGCCUGAGAGGGUGACCGGCCACACUGGGACUGAGACACGGCCCAGACUCCUACGGGAGGCAGCAGUGGGGAAUAUUGCACAAUGGGCGCAAGCUUGAUGCAGCAACGCCGCGUGAGGGACGACGGCCUUCGGGUUGUAAACCUCUUUUAGCAGGGAAGAAGCGAAAGUGACGGUACCUGCAGAAAAAGCACCGGCUAACUACGUG
Molecule: ribosomal RNA, 470 nt
Filed under: uncultured bacterium
Lineage: Bacteria
Description: partial 16S ribosomal RNA
Rfam family: Bacterial small subunit ribosomal RNA
Source: RNAcentral